Molecule: ribosomal RNA, 253 nt
Filed under: uncultured bacterium
Lineage: Bacteria
Description: partial 16S ribosomal RNA
Rfam family: Bacterial small subunit ribosomal RNA
Source: RNAcentral
UACGUAGGGUGCGAGCGUUAAUCGGAAUUACUGGGCGUAAAGCGUGCGCAGGCGGUUUUGUAAGCCAGAUGUGAAAUCCCCGGGCUUAACCUGGGAAUGGCAUUUGGGACUGCAAGGCUUGAGUGCGGCAGAGGAGACUGGAAUUCCUGGUGUAGCGGUGGAAUGCGCAGAUAUCAGGAAGAACACCCGUGGCUAAGGCGGCUCUCUAGUACGGUACUGACGCUGAGACGCGAAAGCGUGGGGAGCGAACAGG